UUGUUUCCUAUUUUUUAAAUUACUAAUAUUAAUAGGCCUGGAAAAACAAUCUGAUUAUACAAAUGAUAAAAUUAUGAUUUUUAAUAGUUCAACAAAACUAAAACCUAGUAUAUAAAUAGAAUUGUUUUUUUAAAAAACAACCUCAUAUCGAGGGGAGACAAAUUAGAAGAUAUCAAGGAAAGAAAGAUGAGUAGACACGAGAGAGAAGCAGGCAGCCCUAACCUUGGUCUCACAGUUAUACUGGGGUUGUGGGGAGCCAUGGAAAUGGAGUGUGCAGAAAACUGACCUGCGGGAGGGAGGAGGCACCUCACCCAGCUCAGAGUGCAGCCUCCAGAAACGCAGUAUGAAGCAAUUCUGUAGUGAGUUGGGAACAAUAAAAGCAGACACCACUUAAAGAAAGCUUGUAUUUGAAGAUGACCCAGGAGGGAAAGCACCCUGUGUGGCCUGCACCUGUGGUAGUCAGUGGCGGCUUCCCUGUCUGUCUUCCCAGCAGGCCAGAGCUCACCUCCCAUCAUGCACCGGGUGAUGACUGCUGCCUUUCCUCAUCAAUCAACCAUAGAACUAGUCUACCAGCGUGGGAAAAUCCCUUUUCUCUCAGUUUCAGCAGUCAAGCUCAUUCUACAUCUCCGGCCACAGAUGGGUGUGUCUUAACGGACGCCCUAAUAAAAGCCCCAGCUUCAGUUUCCUUUCCCAGCUUCCACUUUAUCUCAGAAUCUUGGUUCAGAUCACACAUCUAAUAGAAGAAG
This 746-nucleotide long non-coding RNA is filed under the name Mus spicilegus (steppe mouse). Its description in RNAcentral is "lncRNA (ENSMSIG00000012110.1)". The record is from RNAcentral. Lineage: Eukaryota; Metazoa; Chordata; Mammalia; Rodentia; Muridae.